GUGAGGAAUAUUGGUCAAUGGGCGAGAGCCUGAACCAGUCAAGUCGCGUGAAGGAAGAAGGAUCUAUGGUUCGUAAACUUCUUUUGCAGGGGAAUAAAGUGCGGGACGUGUCCUGUUUUGUAUGUACCCUGAGAAUAAGGAUCGGCUAACUCCGUGCCAGCAGCCGCGGUAAUACGGAGGAUCCGAGCGUUAUCCGGAUUUAUUGGGUUUAAAGGGUGCGUAGGUGGUUUGAUAAGUCAGCGGUGAAAGUUUGCAGCUUAACUGUAAAAAUGCCGUUGAAACUGUCGGACUUGAGUGUAAAUGAGGUAGGCGGAAUGCGUGGUGUAGCGGUGAAAUGCAUAGAUAUCACGCAGAACUCCGAUUGCGAAGGCAGCUUACUAAGCUACAACUGACACUGAAGCACGAAAGCGUGGGGAUCAAACAGGAUUAGAAACCCCAGUAGUCC
RNAcentral lists this ribosomal RNA (445 nucleotides) under uncultured bacterium. RNAcentral describes it as "partial 16S ribosomal RNA". It matches the Rfam family "Bacterial small subunit ribosomal RNA", at positions 354 to 796 of the family's 1533-position model. The record is from RNAcentral.